RNAcentral lists this ribosomal RNA (415 nucleotides) under uncultured crenarchaeote. RNAcentral's name for it is "partial 16S ribosomal RNA". It matches the Rfam family "Archaeal small subunit ribosomal RNA", at positions 330 to 747 of the family's 1478-position model. The record is from RNAcentral. Lineage: Archaea; Thermoproteati; Thermoproteota.
GCGCACCAGUCGCGAAACCUUCGCAAUGCACGAAAGUGCGACGAGGCUACUCCGAGUGCCAUCCGCUGAGGAUGGCUUUUGCCAGGUCUAAACCGCCUGGAGAAUAAGGGGAGGGCAAGUCUGGUGUCAGCCGCCGCGGUAAUACCAGCUCCUCGAGUGGUCGGGACGAUUAUUGGGCCUAAAGCAUCCGUAGCCGGUUCUGUAGGUCUCCUGUCAAGUUCAACGGCUCAACCGUUGAGCUGCAGGAGAUACCGCAGGGCUAGGAGGCGGGAGAGGUGGACGGUACUCUAUGGGUAGGGGUAAAAUCUUCUGAUCCAUGGAAGACCACCAGUGGCGAAGGCGUUCUGCGAGAACGGGCUCGACGGUGAGGGACGAAAGCCAGGGGCGCAAACGGGAUUAGAUACCCCUGUAGUCC